UUUUUCUUAAAUCAAACUUGUAAAUAAACUUAACCAUAUUGACUUAUAUUUCAAAAGACAAAAAGAACUAACAACUUCACUCAAAAUUUUGGCCUUUUGUGCCCUUUUCUUAUUAAACUUUUUUUAAAAGCAAAUUCACCAAUUUCUUUGAAAUUUUUACCAUGGACUACGAGGUUUUGGUCCCUCAUUUUUAUGUUGGUAAGUAGGCACAAGACCGAAGGUCCUGUCAAACACAAAAAU
Molecule: long non-coding RNA, 240 nt
Filed under: Lathyrus oleraceus (garden pea)
Lineage: Eukaryota; Viridiplantae; Streptophyta; Magnoliopsida; Fabales; Fabaceae
Description: Pisum sativum (pea) long non-coding RNA (PSAT_LNC023623)
Source: RNAcentral